GACGAACGCUGGCGGCGUGCUUAACACAUGCAAGUCGAACGGAAAGGCCCUGCUUUUGUGGGGUGCUCGAGUGGCGAACGGGUGAGUAACACGUGAGUAACCUGCCCUUGACUUUGGGAUAACUUCAGGAAACUGGGGCUAAUACCGGAUAGGAGCUCCUGCUGCAUGGUGGGGGUUGGAAAGUUUCGGCGGUUGGGGAUGGACUCGCGGCUUAUCAGCUUGUUGGUGGGGUAGUGGCUUACCAAGGCUUUGACGGGUAGCCGGCCUGAGAGGGUGACCGGCCACAUUGGGACUGAGAGACGGCGCAGACUCCUACGGGAGGCAGCAGUGGGGAAUAUUGCACAAUGGGCGGAAGCCUGAUGCAGCAACGCCGCGUGCGGGAUGACGGCCUUCGGGUUGUAAACCGCUUUCGCCUGUGACGAAGCGGGAGUGACGGUAAUGGGUAAAGAAGCACCGGCUAACUACGUG
RNAcentral lists this ribosomal RNA (468 nucleotides) under uncultured bacterium. RNAcentral's name for it is "partial 16S ribosomal RNA". It matches the Rfam family "Bacterial small subunit ribosomal RNA", at positions 28 to 507 of the family's 1533-position model. The record is from RNAcentral.